GGGACAACCCGCCGAAAGGCGGGCUAAACCCGCGUACAUGCCACCGGGGCAUCCCGGAGGCAGGAAAGGCUUCGGCCGGACAGGGAUGGGCAUGCGGCGCAUUAGGCAGUAGGCGGGGUAACGGCCCACCUAACCGACGAUGCGUAGGGGUUCUGAGAGGAAGGUCCCCCACACUGGUACUGAGACACGGACCAGACUCCUACGGGAGGCAGCAGUGAGGAAUAUUGGUCAAUGGUCGGGAGACUGAACCAGCCAAGCCGCGUGAGGGAUGAAGGUACAGAGUAUCGUAAACCUCUUUUGUCAGGGAACAAAGGCGGGGACGUGUCCCCGGAUGAGUGUACCUGAAGAAAAAGCAUCGGCUAACUCCGUGCCAGCAACCGCGGUAAUACGGAGGAUGCGAGCGUUAUCCGGAUUUAUUGGGUUUAAAGGGUGCGCAGGCGGUCUGUUAAGUCAGCGGUCAAAGCCCGGGGCUCAACCCCGGCCCGCCGUUGAAACUGGCAGUCUCGAGUUGGAGAGAAGUAUGCGGAAUGCGCGGUGUAGCGGUGAAAUGCAUAGAUAUCGCGCAGAACUCCGAUUGCGAAGGCAGCAUGCCGGCUCCACACUGACGCUGAGGCACGAAAGCGUGGGUAUCGAACAGGAUUAGAUACCCUGGUAGUCCACGCAGUAAACGAUGAAUGCUGGCUGUCCG
This 688-nucleotide ribosomal RNA is filed under the name uncultured bacterium. Its description in RNAcentral is "bacterial SSU rRNA". It matches the Rfam family "Bacterial small subunit ribosomal RNA", at positions 140 to 826 of the family's 1533-position model. The record is from RNAcentral.